GGUCAGGUAGUGUAAUGGUUAACAUCUGCUAUAUAUACAGAAGCCCUGGGUUCAAUCCCAGUCUGGCCA
Molecule: non-coding RNA, 69 nt
Organism: Hysterangium stoloniferum
Lineage: Eukaryota; Fungi; Basidiomycota; Agaricomycetes; Hysterangiales; Hysterangiaceae
Source: the annotation of a GenBank genome assembly